RNAcentral lists this transfer RNA (64 nucleotides) under Coralliophila richardi. RNAcentral describes it as "tRNA-Ala". Lineage: Eukaryota; Metazoa; Mollusca; Gastropoda; Neogastropoda; Muricidae. The record is from RNAcentral.
GACCUAGUACUUUAAAUUAAAAGAUUUGAUUUGCAUUCAAGAGAUAAGCCCUGCUUCUAGGUCA